AGUUUGAUCCAUGGCUCAGGACGAACGCUGGCGGCGUGCUUAACACAUGCAAGUCGAGCGGUAAGGCCUUUCGGGGUACACGAGCGGCGAACGGGUGAGUAACACGUGGGUGAUCUGCCCUGCACUUCGGGAUAAGCCUGGGAAACUGGGUCUAAUACCGGAUAUGACCUCCUAUCGCAUGGUGGGUGGUGGAAAGAUUUAUCGGUGCAGGAUGGGCCCGCGGCCUAUCAGCUUGUUGGUGGGGUAAUGGCCUACCAAGGCGACGACGGGUAGCCGACCUGAGAGGGUGACCGGCCACACUGGGACUGAGACACGGCCCAGACUCCUACGGGAGGCAGCAGUGGGGAAUAUUGCACAAUGGGCGAAAGCCUGAUGCAGCGACGCCGCGUGAGGGAUGACGGCCUUCGGGUUGUAAACCUCUUUCAGCAGGGACGAAGCGCAA
This 442-nucleotide ribosomal RNA is filed under the name Rhodococcus erythropolis. Its description in RNAcentral is "bacterial SSU rRNA". It matches the Rfam family "Bacterial small subunit ribosomal RNA", at positions 10 to 455 of the family's 1533-position model. The record is from RNAcentral. Lineage: Bacteria; Bacillati; Actinomycetota; Actinomycetes; Mycobacteriales; Nocardiaceae.